RNAcentral lists this transfer RNA (73 nucleotides) under Podarcis lilfordi (Lilford's wall lizard). It matches the Rfam family "tRNA". From Rfam's summary of the family: Transfer RNA (tRNA) molecules are approximately 80 nucleotides in length. Their secondary structure includes four short double-helical elements and three loops (D, anti-codon, and T loops). Lineage: Eukaryota; Metazoa; Chordata; Lepidosauria; Squamata; Lacertidae. The record is from Rfam by way of RNAcentral.
GCUCAUAUAGCUCAGCUGGUAGAGCACGAGACUCUUAAUCUCAGGGUUGUGGGUUUGAGCCCCACUUUGAGUG